CGCAUGGUAAAACAUCUUUCAACUCUCUCCUCUUUCUCUCUCUCUCUCUCUAGGGUUUUGUUUUUCAUCGAUUGCACGAAAAAUUCCCCAAUUGGUCGUAUCUAUUCGAUCGAAAUGGAAAAUGGAGGCGGAGAUUUGGAGGCGAAAAUUGAGAUGUUGCUGAAUGUGGAGAAGCAGAUGAGGCAAGUGGGUGAUGUUGCAGGUACGAGGAAGGCCAUCACACCUCUAGCAAUUCUUCUUCUCACACCUCAAACAAUACCCCUCAUUUUCUCCCUCCAAGAAAGCCAAAGCCGGCGAAGGAGAGACGCCGCAGUUCCGUCCUCCCACCGCCAAAAUACCCUCACCCAACCCCACCAUCAAACCAUUUCCCUUCUCCUCUGUUCACUUCUUCGAGGAAAAAAGUUAAAGAAAGCAGGUGAAGUUCAUGGUGGUAUGGCAGACUCAAAGGUUCGAAUGUGAUGGUACGGCAGCACCCGCGGGAGAAGCAGCUGCGGAUGUGGGUACAAAUCCAAGAAAGGAAAACCCCGCUGGUAAAAACCCUUAAACCACCGUUUUCUCCCCAUCGUCAAACCCCACCGACACUCACAUGGUGAAACCCUCUCCCUUCAUUUCUUCUUUCUUGUGUUCAUUUCUCACCCAAGAAAACAGAGUAAAGAAAACCAAGAAAAGCAGGGGGGAGAGACAGAGCGAGGAGGAGGCCUCAAAUUAUGGUUUGGGAUUACACUGGUUUUGGAUAUACAAGGUACAAUGCCAGAGACAUUAACAAAGAAAUACUAGGGUAAGCACAAUUCUGCAGCUGUCUCCUUCCGUGAUGAAACCUGUGUCAUUGCUAAGAGGAUAUAAAUCAGACAGGAGACCUGCAAACUUGACAAUGAUGGCAAUUCUGGAUGGCUUUCAGAAGGCAUAUUCCAUUGAUUUCAGACCACUCAAUGUACUGCGCGCUGCUGCAUUCCAAGGGGCUCAUUAUAUUUCACCAUUGAAAAGGCAAAUAAUCUCGUAUGCAUCUGGUAACCAAGCUUGUACACUCGUUUAAGGAAGGUUCGGAGGAAUGGUCCAAGAAGGCGGUAGAGCUUGAGGAUUCAUGAAGACUUUAGAAUUUGGUUGUGGAAUUUCAAAAUUAUCUGUUUGUCUUAUGUCUUCAUGCAUGCUGGAUGAAGGUGUAUGAGGUGGCAAAGACGGUCUUUGGAAACAAUGACACAGAAACUAGAAAGUCUUUUCAAAGUGAUAAUGGUGGUAAAAUGUUGAUCAUUUUCUUGGCUUUCACUCUUCAUUUCAUCCAUCAAGCAUUCCUUUAUAUGUUUGCAUUGUUAUCUUGAGUUCUUGAUAUUUAUCAUCUACAUUAUGGGGUUGUGAUUUUCUUUUUAUCUAUGGCAAGUUUGUUCCUUUGAUAAAUAGUGUUGGAUGCUUUUUUAGUGGUUUUCAAUUACUUUACUACUGUGGUGUGGGUGUUUCUCAUCUUGUUUAAUUUGGUUGUGCUUUUAUGUUAUCUCAUUCAAGUAAACGACGUGUAUUGUGUUCUUUGUGGUAUAUCAAGCUCUGUGAGACAUUUUGUUGUCGGGAUGUCUGUUAUUGUUUAGCAUUUUAGGAUUAGACUCUUGGUUCAAUUGAAAUUACAUGAAACUUCUAAUAUUCUAAUUUUGAUUUGAACAGCCCAAUUCACCUUCCAAAUGAGAUAAAACCAUUUCAAAAGUAAAGAAUUCCAUGACAUAUAUGUAGUGUUAAUUAACACAUAGGAACCA
Non-coding RNA from Sesamum indicum (sesame), 1739 nucleotides. The record is from RefSeq and is a predicted model, not a curated record. Lineage: Eukaryota; Viridiplantae; Streptophyta; Magnoliopsida; Lamiales; Pedaliaceae.